Molecule: ribosomal RNA, 427 nt
Filed under: uncultured bacterium
Lineage: Bacteria
Description: bacterial SSU rRNA
Rfam family: Bacterial small subunit ribosomal RNA
Source: RNAcentral
UAGGGAAUAUUGGACAAUGGGGGCAACCCUGAUCCAGCCAUGCCGCGUGAGUGAAGAAGGCCCUCGGGUUGUAAAGCUCUUUUGUCCGGAAAGAAAAGCAUUCGGUGAAUACCCGGAUGUUCUGACGGUACCGGAAGAAUAAGCACCGGCUAACUUCGUGCCAGCAGCCGCGGUAAUACGAAGGGUGCAAGCGUUACUCGGAAUUACUGGGCGUAAAGCGUGCGCAGGCGGUUUUGUAAGACAGAUGUGAAAUCCCCGGGCUUAACCUGGGCACUGCGUUUGUGACUGCAAGGCUGGAGUACGGCAGAGGGGGGUGGAAUUCCACGUGUAGCAGUGAAAUGCGUAGAGAUGUGGAGGAACACCGAUGGCGAAGGCAGCCCCCUGGGCCUGUACUGACGCUCAUGCACGAAAGCGUGGGGAGCAAACA